UAUUUCUUCAUGCCAGGGUCGGGUCUCAGGAGAGCAAACAGAAUGCUGAUGCGUGCUUGGAAUUAGAGCCAGCCAGGAGGGGCGCGCUGGGGAGGCUCUUUCUGAGGCCUCAUCCAGCAGAUACUCCCGCCAGCCACUCCGAAUGCACUCCCACUCCGCAGCCGCAGCCAGCCAUCAACCGGUUGUGGCCACGCAAGGGCCAAGUUCUUUUGUUUGAGGUGUUCUCCCCUUUUCCCCUCAAAUCCUCUCCUUUCCAGGACCAUGAGCUUCCUGUUGCCAUUUUUCUAACCAACUGAAUUACAUGGGUAAUUGUGAACAAAGAUGGUUCCUGCUGGUCUCACCUUUGGAACAUACAAACUUAAGCUCCCCCAGGUUAUUCCGAAGUGCAUCCAGAGUUGAGGAGCCUGCCUCAGAGUUUUCAGAGCAGUCACGGCCUGCCUUGGCUCAAUCCUUGCCACAGCCUGGAUGGCAGACAGGAAGGAAAUCCAAGUUUGAGUGGAAGAGGGCACCUCGCCAUGGAACUCACCACUCCCAGGGUGGGGCCUCCCAAUGGACCGACCCGGUCUUUCCUGCGGCGCCUGCCCACAAGGGCACAGACUGAGGGGGUUGAGGGAGAGAAGUCAACAGUGACAAUAUGGGUGAUCCAGGAGGGUCCCCCAAAGAGUUUAUAGCCUCUGCUGGGGGUCCUUAGGCAGGGUUGGGAUACCACUGGUGGGGGUCACAUGGGGAGGAUGGUUUUAGGUGAUUCAUGGGAAAACUUUUAAAAUGUUUAAUACCUAUGUAUUUAUUUUAAUGUACAUUAAGAAAAAUGUAGCUCGCUAAGCCUGUAAUUUCACAGGUAUUUCCAAUACAAAGUUCCUGGCAAAAUUAAUUUAAUUAAGCAGAAAAGGAGCACAUUUAAAGCAAAACGUUAAGGAGAUAAUAGUACCAGUGGGACUUGGAUAUAGCCAACAUAGUGACGACAGCUGGGUGUCCCCCAAG
This 981-nucleotide long non-coding RNA is filed under the name Equus caballus (horse). RNAcentral describes it as "lncRNA (ENSECAG00000053630.1)". The record is from RNAcentral. Lineage: Eukaryota; Metazoa; Chordata; Mammalia; Perissodactyla; Equidae.